GUAAAAUGUUGAAUGCAUAACUUUUUAAGUAAUAUUUUUACAUUUUAGCAUAUAAGUGGCCUACUUUUACAUGAAUAUGAGCUCAGAAUAUCUAUGCUGCACGUAAACACUGAAAUGCGUGAAAUGUGGAGCAAUCCUAUCAGUCUAACAAUUCCUGUAAACCAGGUGUUAAUUCCCGUAAAUCCCAAACCUUUCAGUUUCCUUCUGACUGACAGAGGGAAGUUAUUCACACGGAUUUCCCCGUUUGGAAAAAACCCUUGAAUUAAGCAGCAGGCAACGAAGCAGUCAGUCGCUCGGCGGAGAAGGCAAGUGGACGGAUGCAAGUGCAGUCGGCUCCUGUGUGUUUCAGUGUUGGAGCCCAAAGUAAUUAAAAAGACGUCCAUCAGACUAUGACCGUGGAAGCUUCGCAUAAUGGGACCCAGAGCAUGACCAGGUUAACCACUACAACCACAAUCAAACACAUAGAUGCCAAAGCAAGAUACCUUUUGUUUCAUGGCGGUCGCUAGUUUUCCGAUCACUUCAGGCCAUCAAAAUAUCAACCUUCCUUGAGAGAGCCAGUCCAUCACAAUGACCAUACAGUCACAGGUACAGGUAAAAUAAAUUUUCAUUUUGUAUAUUUUCAAAGUUCUGAAUCAUUCCCACUGAGGUAUUAAGAUUAAAAUAACAGCAAUAAAAUAACUAGCUUCAAAUAAAUGUUCACCCCUUAUU
This is a non-coding RNA of Plectropomus leopardus (leopard coralgrouper), 708 nucleotides long. NCBI's taxonomy places the organism in Eukaryota, Metazoa, Chordata, Actinopteri, Perciformes, Serranidae. The record is from RefSeq and is a predicted model, not a curated record.